UCCUACGGGAGGCAGCAGUAGGGAAUCUUCCGCAAUGGACGAAAGUCUGACGGAGCAACGCCGCGUGAGUGAUGAAGGCUUUCGGGUCGUAAAACUCUGUUGUUAGGGAAGAACAAGUGCUAGUUGAAUAAGCUGGCACCUUGACGGUACCUAACCAGAAAGCCACGGCUAACUACGUGCCAGCAGCCGCGGUAAUACGUAGGUGGCAAGCGUUAUCCGGAAUUAUUGGGCGUAAAGCGCGCGCAGGUGGUUUCUUAAGUCUGAUGUGAAAGCCCACGGCUCAACCGUGGAGGGUCAUUGGAAACUGGGAGACUUGAGAGCAGAAGAGGAAAGUGGAAUUCCAUGUGUAGCGGUGAAAUGCGUAGAGAUAUGGAGGAACACCAGUGGCGAAGGCGACUUUCUGGUCUGUAACUGACACUGAGGCGCGAAAGCGUGGGGAGCAAACAGGAUUGGAUACCCUGGUAGUCCACGCCGUAAACGAUGAGUGCUAAGUGUUAGAGGGUUUCCGCCCUUUAGUGCUGAAGUUAACGCAUUAAGCACUCCGCCUGGGGAGUACGGCCGCAAGGCUGAAACUCAAAGGAAUUGACGGA
Molecule: ribosomal RNA, 590 nt
Filed under: uncultured bacterium
Lineage: Bacteria
Description: bacterial SSU rRNA
Rfam family: Bacterial small subunit ribosomal RNA
Source: RNAcentral